AGCUGCAGUUUCCCUCCUUAAUGGAAGAACCUGUCCAGGGCUCUGGAGCAAAGGAUAUGAUCUCCAAAUCCUGUUCCAAGUUGGACCUGAAUAAGAAUGCCGACAUGUUCUGAGGGUCCAUUGGUCAUGGAUGUGGGAGAUCCACAUAACUAAUAAGAAUAAUGAUGACCAUAAUAAUAAAAUGAUGGAAAUGGAAAAGACAACCACAAAAAAUCAGAAGUGGAUUUUGCAAAGUAACAAAGAAUAGAAUGUGGCUCUAAAGAAGAGAUAUGAAAAGACACUCUGACUACAUCCAUUUGCAGAGGAUUCCUGCACUGGAGCCAGUCGUAAUGAGAAGAGAUUGUUAAAUGAACAUUUACACCAAGAAAUUGAAAUUACAAAUGCUAUAAGAUUGGGGCUCAAUUGUUUUGUUGAUUGUCUAGACUUAAGAAAGUGAUGGUGAAAAUUUUA
Phascolarctos cinereus (koala) is the source of this 450-nucleotide long non-coding RNA. RefSeq lists it as uncharacterized. NCBI's taxonomy places the organism in Eukaryota, Metazoa, Chordata, Mammalia, Diprotodontia, Phascolarctidae. The record is from RefSeq and is a predicted model, not a curated record.